This 64-nucleotide transfer RNA is filed under the name marine eukaryotic metagenome. It matches the Rfam family "tRNA", at positions 5 to 66 of the family's 71-position model. Rfam says of the family: Transfer RNA (tRNA) molecules are approximately 80 nucleotides in length. The record is from RNAcentral.
CCGUAGCUCAGUUGGUAGAGCAACUGAUUCGUAAUCAGUAGGUCAGCGGUUCGAUUCCGCUCGG